Long non-coding RNA from Coturnix japonica (Japanese quail), 250 nucleotides. Lineage: Eukaryota; Metazoa; Chordata; Aves; Galliformes; Phasianidae. The record is from Ensembl.
GUGGAGAAGCCAUGCAAGUCAUUUUAUGACCUUGUCUUUAAGCUAUGGUUAAUCACUGUAGGCAACAACUAAUUUUUCUCAUGGCUGAUCCUUCAAAAUAUACAUGGGGAAAACUGGAAAGUGCAGCAGACUGUGGAAAUCUACUUCUCUGGACAGAGCCUUCUGACAGUUCCACAAUGAAGACAAACGCAUACGCAGAGAGAGAUGUCAGAGUGGAAAAGCUCCUGAAAUGAGACCUAUCAGCUAACUG